UUGAUCCUGGCUCAGAACGAACGCUGGCGGCGGGGUUUAGGCAUGCAAGUCGCGCGUGAACGUCCUUCGGGGCUAUUAGCGCGGCGAAAGGGUGAGUAAUGCUUCGUUAAUGUACCCAUGGGACCGGGAUAAUUCCUGGAAACGGGUUGUAAUACCGGAUGAGACCCCAGGCACCACGGUGCCGGUGGUCAAAGGCAUGUUGCUUUCGGGCGCAUGCGCCGAUGGAGCGGACGAAGUCUGAUUAGCUUGUUGGUGGGGUCACGGCCUACCAAGGCGAUGAUCAGUAGCGGGCCUGAGAGGGUGGCCCGCCACACUGGGACUGAGACACUGCCCAGACUCCUACGGGAGGCUGCAGUCGCGAAUCAUUCACAAUGGACGGAAGUCUGAUGAUGCCACGCCGCGUGCGGGAAGAAGGCCUUCGGGUUGUAAACCGCUGUCGAGAGGGGGGAAGUAUUGACUGCCCUCUGGAGGAAGCCCCGGCUAAACACGUGCCAGCAGCCGCGGUAAUACGUGUGGGGCAAGCGUUGUUCGGAAUCACUGGGCUUAAAGGGUGCGUAGGCGGCCUAUCAAGUCAGGGGUGAAGUCCCGCGGCCCAACCGUGGAAUUGCCUUUGAUACUGGUGGGCUUGAGUGUGCCAGGGGUGAGCGGAACGUGUGGUGUAGCGGUGAAAUGCGUAGAUAUCACACGGAAGGCCGGAGCCGAACGGGGCUCACUGGGGCACAACUGACGCUGAGGCACGAAAGCGUGGGGAGCAAACAGGAUUAGAUACCCUGGUAGUCCACGCCGUUAACGAUGAGCACUAGG
RNAcentral lists this ribosomal RNA (804 nucleotides) under uncultured organism. RNAcentral's name for it is "bacterial SSU rRNA". It matches the Rfam family "Bacterial small subunit ribosomal RNA", at positions 13 to 820 of the family's 1533-position model. The record is from RNAcentral.